AUUGAACGCUGGCGGCAUGCCUUACACAUGCAAGUCGAACGGCAGCACGGGAGCAAUCCUGGUGGCGAGUGGCGAACGGGUGAGUAAUAUAUCGGAACGUGCCCAGUAGUGGGGGAUAACUGCUCGAAAGAGCAGCUAAUACCGCAUACGACCUGAGGGUGAAAGGGGGGGAUCGCAAGACCUCUCGCUAUUGGAGCGGCCGAUAUCAGAUUAGCAAGUUGGUGGGGUAAAGGCCUACCAAGGCAACGAUCUGUAGUUGGUCUGAGAGGACGACCAGCCACACUGGGACUGAGACACGGCCCAGACUCCUACGGGAGGCAGCAGUGGGGAAUUUUGGACAAUGGGCGCAAGCCUGAUCCAGCAAUGCCGCGUGCAGGAAGAAGGCCUUCGGGUUGUAAACUGCUUUUGUCAGGGAAGAAAUCCUCUAGGUUAAUACCCUUGGGGGGAUGACGGUACCUGAAGAAUAAGCACCGGCUAACUACGUGCCAGCAGCCGCCGCGG
RNAcentral lists this ribosomal RNA (501 nucleotides) under uncultured bacterium. Its description in RNAcentral is "partial 16S ribosomal RNA". It matches the Rfam family "Bacterial small subunit ribosomal RNA", at positions 30 to 523 of the family's 1533-position model. The record is from RNAcentral.